RNAcentral lists this long non-coding RNA (287 nucleotides) under Panax ginseng (ginseng). Its description in RNAcentral is "long non-coding RNA (PGIN_LNC014243)". Lineage: Eukaryota; Viridiplantae; Streptophyta; Magnoliopsida; Apiales; Araliaceae. The record is from RNAcentral.
CACUAGCUUGUAAUAAUAUACCCAUUGCUUCUGCUCUUUGAGCCGAAUCGAGUUCGACAUUUGUGGGUUGUUGUUGCAAUAGUUUCAAGGCUUCGGCAAGGUUUUUAGAUUGGCAGAGCGUGUUUAUUUUUGAGGUAGAGAGGGUUGAGGGGUUGAAGUGAAAGACGAGUAUUUGGUUUGCGGAGAGAAGAGCGAAAGUGAUGAUUUUGGGAUAAAAUGGGUUUUGUGGAUUUGAAAGCGGCGGAAUGAAAAUGGUGGCGCCACCACAGACAUGGCGGAAUUUUUGG